UACGUAGGUGGCAAGCGUUGUCCGGAUUUACUGGGCGUAAAGAGCGCGCAGGCGGUCGUUCAAGUCGCGUGUGAAAGCCCCCGGCUCAACUGGGGAGGGUCACGCGAUACUGAUCGACUCGAAGGCAGGAGAGGGAAGUGGAAUUCCCGGUGGAGCGGUGAAAUGCGUAGAUAUCGGAAGGAACACCGGUGGCGAAAGCGGCGCGCUGGACCUCUUCUGACGCUGAGGCGCGAAAGCCAGGGGAGCAAACGGG
RNAcentral lists this ribosomal RNA (253 nucleotides) under uncultured bacterium. RNAcentral describes it as "partial 16S ribosomal RNA". It matches the Rfam family "Bacterial small subunit ribosomal RNA", at positions 524 to 776 of the family's 1533-position model. The record is from RNAcentral.